UACGUAGGGAGCGAGCGUUGUCCGGAAUUACUGGGUGUAAAGGGAGCGUAGGCGGGCGAGAAAGUUGAAUGUUAAAUCUACCGGCUUAACUGGUAGCUGCGUUCAAAACUUCUUGUCUUGAGUGAAGUAGAGGCAGGCGGAAUUCCUAGUGUAGCGGUGAAAUGCGUAGAUAUUAGGAAGAACACCAGUGGCGAAGGCGGCUUUCUGGACUGAAACUGACGCUGAGGCACGAAAGCGUGGGGAGCGAACAGG
RNAcentral lists this ribosomal RNA (252 nucleotides) under uncultured Oscillospiraceae bacterium. RNAcentral describes it as "partial 16S ribosomal RNA". It matches the Rfam family "Bacterial small subunit ribosomal RNA", at positions 524 to 776 of the family's 1533-position model. The record is from RNAcentral. Lineage: Bacteria; Bacillati; Bacillota; Clostridia; Eubacteriales; Oscillospiraceae.